CUCUUAACGGGGGAUCACUUGGCUCGUGGGUCGAGGAAGGACCGCGGCAAGAAGCGAAGUUUUGGUGGCUAUCGCAAUUCUCCCGUGAUUCCAUCGACGUGUCGAACGCACAUUUGCGGCGGCCCUGUGCCUUCUUCGAAGGACGGCUGCCACCUUCCCUC
Molecule: ribosomal RNA, 161 nt
Filed under: Penaeus vannamei (Pacific white shrimp)
Lineage: Eukaryota; Metazoa; Arthropoda; Malacostraca; Decapoda; Penaeidae
Description: 5.8S ribosomal RNA
Source: RNAcentral